Molecule: ribosomal RNA, 298 nt
Filed under: uncultured Sphingomonadaceae bacterium
Lineage: Bacteria; Pseudomonadati; Pseudomonadota; Alphaproteobacteria; Sphingomonadales; Sphingomonadaceae
Description: partial 16S ribosomal RNA
Rfam family: Bacterial small subunit ribosomal RNA
Source: RNAcentral
UAACGCGUGGGAAUCUGCCUAUCAGUGGGGAAUAACGACGGGAAACUGUCGCUAAUACCGCAUACGGCCUGAGGGCGAAAGAUUUAUCGCUCUAGGAGGGGCCCGCGUCGGAUUAGCUUGUUGGCGGGGUAACGGCCCACCAAGGCUAUGAUCCGUAGCUGGUCUGAGAGGAUGAUCAGCCACACUGGGACUGAGACACGGCCCAGACUCCUACGGGAGGCAGCAGUGAGGAAUAUUGGACAAUGGGGGAAACCCUGAUCCAGCCAUGCCGCGUGAGUGAUGAAGGCCUUAGGGUUGU